Triticum dicoccoides is the source of this 630-nucleotide long non-coding RNA. RefSeq lists it as uncharacterized. The record is from RefSeq and is a predicted model, not a curated record. NCBI's taxonomy places the organism in Eukaryota, Viridiplantae, Streptophyta, Magnoliopsida, Poales, Poaceae. The transcript has 3 exons.
UAUAGGAAAAUGGGACAUCUUGUGGCGGGGGCGACGACGUCCGACAACGACGACAAGAUACACGGUGGCUACGACAACGUCAUAUGACGGCGACGAGAUACGUAGCCGGCAAUGAAGACAGCGGCGAGACACGUAGCCGGCGACGAAGACAGCGGCGAGAUACGUAGCCGGCGACGAAGACGGCGGCGAGACACGUAGUCGUCGGCGACGAAGACGACUCAUCAUCUGAAACCAUGGCGUUGAAGAUGGAAAAAAGCUUUGUGUGGCACAUGACCGGCGGCGGAACGGCGACGGAAAUGAGAUAAUGAGAUUUGGCGGCCGGCGUCUAGACUGUGUUACACAACGCCAGGCCGCCGGCGGACCGACGUCCUAACGCAACGUGUGCUGAUGCGUGCAUGCGGUUUCUUCCAAUGUACUUUCAAGAAAUCGGAACAUACAACAAGCUGAUGCGCCAGUGAAUUAGCUAUUUUGAUGACAUUGUGCAUCCCGUGAUUGGUGUUCCAUUUUCUAGUGGUCAUGUACACAUUAUGGAGACGUAGAAGCAAAGUGCAUAUGCCUGCUCCAUCCUUUUUUUGGAAAUGUAUUCGUGUCUACUAAGAUGAAACUUUAUCUGGGAAGUAUGUAUUUGAA